This 497-nucleotide ribosomal RNA is filed under the name uncultured bacterium. Its description in RNAcentral is "partial 16S ribosomal RNA". It matches the Rfam family "Bacterial small subunit ribosomal RNA", at positions 28 to 507 of the family's 1533-position model. The record is from RNAcentral.
GAUGAACGCUGGCGGCGUGCCUAAUACAUGCAAGUCGAGCGAACAGACGAGGAGCUUGCUCCUCUGUCGUUAGCGGCGGACGGGUGAGUAACACGUGGAUAACCUACCUAUAAGACUGGGAUAACUUCGGGAAACCGGAGCUAAUACCGGAUAAUCUAUUGAACCGCAUGGUUCAAUAGUGAAAGACGGUUUUGCUGUCACUUCUAGCUGGAUCCGCGCCGCAUUAGCUAGUUGGUGAGGUAACGGCUUACCAAGGCGACGAUGCGUAACCGACCUGAGAGGGUGAUCGGCCACACUGGAACUGAGACACGGUCCAGACUCCUACGGGAGGCAGCAGUAGGGAAUCUUCCGCAAUGGGCGAAAGCCUGACGGAGCAACGCCGCGUGAGUGAUGAAGGUCUUCGGAUCGUAAAACUCUGUUAUUAGGGAAGAACAAAUGUGUAAGUAACUAUGCACGUCUUGACGGUACCUAAUCAGAAAGCCACGGCUAACUACGUG